Molecule: ribosomal RNA, 496 nt
Filed under: uncultured bacterium
Lineage: Bacteria
Description: partial 16S ribosomal RNA
Rfam family: Bacterial small subunit ribosomal RNA
Source: RNAcentral
AUGAACGCUGGCGGCGUGCCUAAUACAUGCAAGUCGAGCGAACGGACGAGAAGCUUGCUUUUCUGAUGUUAGCGGCGGACGGGUGAGUAACACGUGGAUAACCUACCUAUAAGACUGGGAUAACUUCGGGAAACCUGAGCUAAUACCGGAUAAUAUUUUGAACCGCAUGGUUCAAAAGUGAAAGACGGUCUUGCUGUCACUUAUAGAUGGAUCCGCGCUGCAUUAGCUAGUUGGUAAGGUAACGGCUUACCAAGGCAACGAUGCAUAGCCGACCUGAGAGGGUGAUCGGCCACACUGGAACUGAGACACGGUCCAGACUCCUACGGGAGGCAGCAGUAGGGAAUCUUCCGCAAUGGGCGAAAGCCUGACGGAGCAACGCCGCGUGAGUGAUGAAGGUCUUCGGAUCGUAAAACUCUGUUAUUAGGGAAGAACAUAUGUGUAAGUAACUGUGCACAUCUUGACGGUACCUAAUCAGAAAGCCACGGCUAACUACGUG